CCCUUAGAUGUUCUGGGCCGCACGCGCGCUACACUGAUGCAUUCAGCGAGUCCAUCCUUGCCCGAAAGGGCUGGGUAAUCUUUUGAAAUUGCAUCGUGAUGGGGCUUGCGGGUUGCAACUACCCGCACCAACGAGGAAUUCCUAGUAAACGCAAGUCAACAACUUGCAUUGAUUACGUCCCUGCCCUUUGUACACACCGCCCGUCGCUCCUACCGAUUGAGCAUCCCGGUGAAGACUCAGGAGAUAUGUACGUGGCUGGUCUCCAGCUGCGUUGCGUGCCGAAUUUGUCUAAACCUCGAUGCUUAGAGGAAGGAGAAGUCGUAACA
Molecule: ribosomal RNA, 326 nt
Filed under: uncultured eukaryote
Lineage: Eukaryota
Description: partial 18S ribosomal RNA
Rfam family: Eukaryotic small subunit ribosomal RNA
Source: RNAcentral